UACGUAGGUGGCAAGCGUUAUCCGGAUUUAUUGGGCGUAAAGAGAACGCAGGCGGUCUUUUAAGUCUGAUGUGAAAGCCUUCGGCUUAACCGGAGUAGUGCAUUGGAAACUGGGAGACUUGAGUGCAGAAGAGGAGAGUGGAACUCCAUGUGUAGCGGUGAAAUGCGUAGAUACAUGGAAGAACACCAGUGGCGAAAGCGGCUCUCUGGUCUGUAACUGACGCUGAGGUUCGAAAGCGUGGGUAGCAAAUAGG
RNAcentral lists this ribosomal RNA (253 nucleotides) under uncultured bacterium. Its description in RNAcentral is "partial 16S ribosomal RNA". It matches the Rfam family "Bacterial small subunit ribosomal RNA", at positions 524 to 776 of the family's 1533-position model. The record is from RNAcentral.